GGCCUGAUGGUCUAGUAGUAUGAUUCCUUGUUAGGGUGUUUAUGUAAUCCGACUCGAGGAGGUCCUGGGUUCAAUUCCCAGUUAGGCCC
Non-coding RNA from Mycena rebaudengoi, 89 nucleotides. Lineage: Eukaryota; Fungi; Basidiomycota; Agaricomycetes; Agaricales; Mycenaceae. The record is from the annotation of a GenBank genome assembly.